CUACGGGACGCACCAGUGGGGAAUAUUGGACAAUGGGCGCAAGCCUGAUCCAGCCAUGCCGCGUGGAUGAAGAAGGCCCUAGGGUUGUAAAAUCCUUUCGCUAGGGAUGAUAAUGACAGUACCUAGUAAAGAAGCCCCGGCUAAUUUCGUGCCAGCAGCCGCGGUAAUACGAAAGGGGCUAGCGUUGUUCGGAAUUACUGGGCGUAAAGCGCACGUAGGCGGCCUACCAAGUUAGAGGUGAAAUCCCGGGGCUUAACCCCGGAACUGCCUUUAAAACUGGUAAGCUAGAGGAUGUGAGAGGUGAGUGGAAUUCCGAGUGUAGAGGUGACAUUCGUAGAUAUUCGGAAGAACACCAGUGGCGAAGGCGACUCACUGGCACAUUUCUGACGCUGAGGUGCGAAAGCGUGGGGAGCAAACAGGAUUAGAUACCCUCGUAGUC
Molecule: ribosomal RNA, 439 nt
Filed under: uncultured bacterium
Lineage: Bacteria
Description: partial 16S ribosomal RNA
Rfam family: Bacterial small subunit ribosomal RNA
Source: RNAcentral